RNAcentral lists this ribosomal RNA (254 nucleotides) under uncultured bacterium. RNAcentral describes it as "partial 16S ribosomal RNA". It matches the Rfam family "Bacterial small subunit ribosomal RNA", at positions 524 to 776 of the family's 1533-position model. The record is from RNAcentral.
UACGGGGGGGGCAAGCGUUGUUCGGAAUUACUGGGCGUAAAGGGCUCGUAGGCGGCCAACUAAGUCAGACGUGAAAUCCCUCGGCUUAACCGGGGAACUGCGUCUGAUACUGGAUGGCUUGAGUUUGGGAGAGGGAUGCGGAAUUCCAGGUGUAGCGGUGAAAUGCGUAGAUAUCUGGAGGAACACCGGUGGCGAAGGCGGCAUCCUGGACCAAUACUGACGCUGAGUGAGCGAAAGCCAGGGGAGCAAACGGG